GACGAACGCUGGCGGCGUGCUUAACACAUGCAAGUCGAACGGUAAGGCCCUUCGGGGUACACGAGUGGCGAACGGGUGAGUAACCCGUGGGUGAUCUGCCCUGCACUUCGGGAUAAGCCUGGGAAACUGGGUCUAAUACCGGAUAGGACCCUGGGAUGCAUGUCCUGGGGUGGAAAGCUUUUGCGGUGUGGGAUGGGCCCGCGGCCGAGCAGCUUGUUGGUGGGGGGAUGGCCUACCAAGGCGACGACGGGUAGCCGGCCUGAGAGGGUGACCGGCCACACUGGGACUGAGAUACGGCCCAGACUCCAACGGGAGGCAGCAGUGGGGAAUAUUGCACAAUGGGCGCAAGCCUGAUGCAGCGACGCCGCGUGAGGGAUGACGGCCUUCGGGUUGUAAACCUCUUUCAGCACCGACGAAGCGCAAGUGACGGUAGGUGCAGAAGAAGGACCGGCCAACUACGUGCCAGCCGCCGCCGUAA
RNAcentral lists this ribosomal RNA (478 nucleotides) under uncultured bacterium. RNAcentral's name for it is "partial 16S ribosomal RNA". It matches the Rfam family "Bacterial small subunit ribosomal RNA", at positions 28 to 523 of the family's 1533-position model. The record is from RNAcentral.